RNAcentral lists this ribosomal RNA (1377 nucleotides) under bacterium. RNAcentral's name for it is "bacterial SSU rRNA". It matches the Rfam family "Bacterial small subunit ribosomal RNA". The record is from RNAcentral.
GCCGAGCGGUAGAGAUCUUUCGGGAUCUUGAGAGCGGCGUACGGGUGCGGAACACGUGUGCAACCUGCCUUUAUCUGGGGGAUAGCCUUUCGAAAGGAAGAUUAAUACCCCAUAAUAUACUGAAUGGCAUCAUUCGGUAUUGAAAACUCCGGUGGAUAGAGAUGGGCACGCGCAAGAUUAGAUAGUUGGUGAGGUAACGGCUCACCAAGUCUACGAUCUUUAGGGGGCCUGAGAGGGUGAUCCCCCACACUGGUACUGAGACACGGACCAGACUCCUACGGGAGGCAGCAGUGAGGAAUAUUGGACAAUGGGUGAGAGCCUGAUCCAGCCAUCCCGCGUGAAGGACGACGGCCCUAUGGGUUGUAAACUUCUUUUGUAUAGGGAUAAACCUACCCUCGUGAGGGUAGCUGAAGGUACUAUACGAAUAAGCACCGGCUAACUCCGUGCCAGCAGCCGCGGUAAUACGGAGGGUGCAAGCGUUAUCCGGAUUUAUUGGGUUUAAAGGGUCCGUAGGCGGAUCUGUAAGUCAGUGGUGAAAUCUCACAGCUUAACUGUGAAACUGCCAUUGAUACUGCAGGUCUUGAGUGUUGUUGAAGUAGCUGGAAUAAGUAGUGUAGCGGUGAAAUGCAUAGAUAUUACUUAGAACACCAAUUGCGAAGGCAGGUUACUAAGCAACAACUGACGCUGAUGGACGAAAGCGUGGGGAGCGAACAGGAUUAGAUACCCUGGUAGUCCACGCCGUAAACGAUGCUAACUCGUUUUUGGAGCGUAAGCUUCAGAGACUAAGCGAAAGUGAUAAGUUAGCCACCUGGGGAGUACGAACGCAAGUUUGAAACUCAAAGGAAUUGACGGGGGCCCGCACAAGCGGUGGAUUAUGUGGUUUAAUUCGAUGAUACGCGAGGAACCUUACCAAGGCUUAAAUGGGAAAUGACAGGUUUAGAAAUAGACUUUUCUUCGGACAUUUUUCAAGGUGCUGCAUGGUUGUCGUCAGCUCGUGCCGUGAGGUGUUAGGUUAAGUCCUGCAACGAGCGCAACCCCUGUCACUAGUUGCCAUCAUUAAGUUGGGGACUCUAGUGAGACUGCCUACGCAAGUAGAGAGGAAGGUGGGGAUGACGUCAAAUCAUCACGGCCCUUACGCCUUGGGCCACACACGUAAUACAAUGGCCGGUACAGAGGGCAGUUACACUGCGAAGUGAUGCAAAUCUCGAAAGCCGGUCUCAGUUCGGAUUGGAGUCUGCAACUCGACUCUAUGAAGCUGGAAUCGCUAGUAAUCGCGCAUCAGCCAUGGCGCGGUGAAUACGUUCCCGGGCCUUGUACACACCGCCCGUCAAGCCAUGGAAGUCUGGGGUACCUGAAGUCGGUGACCGUAACAGGAGC